RNAcentral lists this ribosomal RNA (395 nucleotides) under Pseudoxanthomonas sp. AB29t10. RNAcentral describes it as "bacterial SSU rRNA". It matches the Rfam family "Bacterial small subunit ribosomal RNA", at positions 247 to 634 of the family's 1533-position model. The record is from RNAcentral. Lineage: Bacteria; Pseudomonadati; Pseudomonadota; Gammaproteobacteria; Lysobacterales; Lysobacteraceae.
AGUUGGUGAGGUAAUGGCUCACCAAGGCGACGAUCCGUAGCUGGUCUGAGAGGAUGAUCAGCCACACUGGAACUGAGACACGGUCCAGACUCCUACGGGAGGCAGCAGUGGGGAAUAUUGGACAAUGGGCGCAAGCCUGAUCCAGCCAUACCGCGUGGGUGAAGAAGGCCUUCGGGUUGUAAAGCCCUUUUGUUGGGAAAGAAAAGCGAUCGGUUAAUACCCGGUUGUUCUGACGGUACCCAAAGAAUAAGCACCGGCUAACUUCGUGCCAGCAGCCGCGGUAAUACGAAGGGUGCAAGCGUUACUCGGAAUUACUGGGCGUAAAGCGUGCGUAGGUGGUGGUUUAAGUCCGUUGUGAAAGCCCUGGGCUCAACCUGGGAAUUGCAGUGGAUACU